GAUUACAAAUUCAAGCAUAUAUGAACACCUCUUUAUAGUUUACUGCAACAAACAACAAUUCAAGCCCAAACUCCACAUCCUAGCAAGGUCUAGCAGUUCUCUCAAGGUCAGGGCUUCAUGAUAUGACUCACAAAAUAGAAAACUGUGUCCUUAUCACGUUUAUCAUCAAGCACCUAAUGAAGUUAGGGAUAUCAAGCCCCCAGAAAAUGACACCAAAUGAUUUAAUUGAUCUGCAUCGCUUCUUCAUGGUACUUCUCCAAAUCAGCAUCUAGAUCUUCAGCUGAUAACUUCUCUCCACGACCUCUGCCACUCCCACUCCCACUCCCACGUCCACGCCCUCCUCUUCCAGGACCACGUCCUCGUCCACCACCCCGGUUUCGACCCAGUACACGUCCACCUCUCGGAAAUCCAUUUGGAUUCCCAAAACUGGGAUUUGUAGAUGCAGGCACAGCUGGUGUCACGAUGUUAGAUCCCACGAUCUCCAACUUCAUGGGUUUCCCAUCUAGCUGAACAUUGUUAUAUCUCUUUAUAGCAGCAAGGGCAUCUGAUUGUCGUGAAAAAACAAUUUCUGCUGUUCCCUUUGAUCUCCCACUUUUAUCAUAAUUGAUAGAAUAUCGUUUGAGAUCACCAACUUCAGAAAAGAGUUCCUUGAUGUCCUCGUUGGAGACACCAUAAUCCAAAUUAGAAACAUAAAGCUUGGUGCCAGUUUCAAUAGCAGAGGCCCGUGGAGGCUGUGAAGGAUAUGCCGCACCGUGAUCUACAAACAUUUCGUGUGACCAAGCCGUCUCGGGCGCCUUGGCAGUAGAAUAGGGCGCUGGUCUAUUAAGACCGCGAUUGCGAAAGCGGCGAGAAGGACCUGGUCCAGAAGAAGCUCCGCCACGACCUCUGAAGUUUGAAGAUCCGGGUUUCUUGUUCUUCUUGAUGAUAUCAUCCAAGCUCAUGUCGAGAGGCUCUGCCAUUGGUGGUGGAUCAGAGAUUCAGAGAGGACAGACAAUUUCUAGGGUUCCGACGGAACGACGUGAUGUUGUGAGCAACCCGGGAAG
RNAcentral lists this unclassified non-coding RNA (1043 nucleotides) under Hevea brasiliensis (rubber tree). The record is from RNAcentral. Lineage: Eukaryota; Viridiplantae; Streptophyta; Magnoliopsida; Malpighiales; Euphorbiaceae.